ACAAACUUGGUCAUUUAGAGGAAGUAAAAGUCGUAACAAGGUUUCCGUAGGUGAACCUGCGGAAGGAUCAUUACCAAAGCGGUAUGGCGGACCUGCGUCCGUCCAUCCCCUCACCCUUUGUGUACCUCGCCACCGUUGCUUCGGCGGGCCUGGCCCUCGCCGGCCAGCCGGCCCCUUUAGGGGUUGGCCAGCGCCCGCCGGAGGACCAACCAGACUCUGUUGAUAUGAUGCUGUCUGAGCUUUACAAGCAAAUCAAAUAAAACUUUCAACAACGGAUCUCUUGGUUCUGGCAUCGAUGAAGAACGCAGC
Molecule: unclassified non-coding RNA, 309 nt
Filed under: uncultured fungus
Lineage: Eukaryota; Fungi
Description: partial contains small subunit ribosomal RNA, internal transcribed spacer 1, and 5.8S ribosomal RNA
Rfam family: Eukaryotic small subunit ribosomal RNA (bases 1-73)
Source: RNAcentral